AGCAGCCGCGGUAAUUCCAGCUCCAAUAGCGUAUAUUAAAGUUGUUGCAGUUAAAAGCUCGUAGUUGAAUUUCGGGAUCAAUACGUCGGUCGUGCUUCGGUACGUACUGGCGUAAUUGAUUUCUCCCUUCUGACGAACCAUGAUGUCAUUAACUUGGUGUCAUGGGAAAUCAGGACUGUUACUUUGAAAAAUUGAGUGUUUAAAGCAGGCUCACGCUUGAAUACAUUAGCAUGGAAUAAUGAAAUAGGACGUUCGAUCCUAUUUUGUUGGUUUUAGGAUCAACGUAAUGAUUAAUAGGGAUAGUUGGGGGCAUUAGUAUUCAAUUGUCAGAGGUGAAAUUCUUGGAUUUAUUGAAGACUAACUACUGCGAAAGCAUUUGCCAAGGAUGUUUUCAUUAAUCAAGAACGAAAGUUAGGGAUCGAAGACGAUCAGAUACCGUCGUAGUCUUAACCAUAAACUAUAGCCGACUAGGGAUCGGAUGAUGUUAAUUUUUAAUGACUCAUUUCGG
Molecule: unclassified non-coding RNA, 508 nt
Filed under: uncultured Glomus
Lineage: Eukaryota; Fungi; Glomeromycota; Glomeromycetes; Glomerales; Glomeraceae
Description: SSU rRNA
Rfam family: Eukaryotic small subunit ribosomal RNA
Source: RNAcentral